CUCGUAGGCCGCUCUGUAAGUCGGAAGUGAAAGACCACGGCUCAACCGUGGAACCGCUUUCGAAACUGCGGAGCUUGAGGCCGGGAGAGGAGAUUGGAAUUCCUGGUGUAGCGGUGAAAUGCGUAGAUAUCAGGAGGAACACCCGUGGCGAAGGCGAAUCUCUGGGCCGGUUCUGACGCUGAUGAGCGAAAGCUAGGGAGCAAACA
RNAcentral lists this ribosomal RNA (206 nucleotides) under uncultured bacterium. Its description in RNAcentral is "partial 16S ribosomal RNA". It matches the Rfam family "Bacterial small subunit ribosomal RNA", at positions 568 to 774 of the family's 1533-position model. The record is from RNAcentral.